RNAcentral lists this long non-coding RNA (529 nucleotides) under Gossypium raimondii (Peruvian cotton). RNAcentral's name for it is "long non-coding RNA (GRAI_LNC005749)". Lineage: Eukaryota; Viridiplantae; Streptophyta; Magnoliopsida; Malvales; Malvaceae. The record is from RNAcentral.
UACCUUCUGCUCUAUUCCAGGAACUUUGAGAACUUUCUUAUUAACCUCUCUCUUACUGCAAAAACAUAAGAAAAAUAAAACAUUUAGCCACUGGUUAUAGGCUUAUAGCAGAUACUGAUAAGCAGGAACACAAAAAGAGGGAACUAUGAAACUAUUAAAUCCAAUUGCAUAGCUUUCAAAGGAUUCACUGGAAUUCCAUAUGUUCUGUACCCAACCAGGCGACAAACCAUUAAACCCAAUUCCAAGUUCAAUAACCUACACUGAACUGCCUCCUCAUUUCCCUCAUUAUUUGUAAUUAGUUCUCACCUCCCUUUUCUUCCUAAUAAAAGGCCGAACCAGCAAGUGUCCUCUUUUCAUUACAAUAUGAGAAGACUAGAUAAUAAUUUUUCUUUUGUUUUUCAAGAAUGCUGGAAGCAGUCAUGGCACAACCAUAAAACCAACCAUAUUAAGUAAAUUCAGUGCCUAACAUCCUACAUGUAGUAAGUUGCACUCAGUUAAUACAUAACAAACCACUGGCCUCUAAUUCCCC